ACGAGUGAGCUUUCAAAGUUCUUCAUAGAAAUUUAAGGCACCGCAGUCUGCGGUGCCUUUUUUCUUGCGGGAG
RNAcentral lists this small RNA (73 nucleotides) under Rhizobium mongolense USDA 1844. RNAcentral describes it as "suhB". The record is from RNAcentral. Lineage: Bacteria; Pseudomonadati; Pseudomonadota; Alphaproteobacteria; Hyphomicrobiales; Rhizobiaceae.